GACGAACGCUGGCGGCGUGCUUAACACAUGCAAGUCGAACGGAAAGGCCCUGCUUUUGUGGGGUGCUCGAGUGGCGAACGGGUGAGUAACACGUGAGUAACCUGCCCUUGACUUUGGGAUAACUUCAGGAAACUGGGGCUAAUACCGGAUAGGAGCUCCUGCUGCAUGGUGGGGGUUGGAAAGUUUCGGCGGUUGGGGAUGGACUCGCGGCUUAUCAGCUUGUUGGUGGGGUAGUGGCUUACCAAGGCUUUGACGGGUAGCCGGCCUGAGGGGGUGACCGGCCACAUGGGGACGGAGAUACGGCCCAGCCCCCUAGGGGGGGCAGCGGGGGGGAAUAUUGCACAAGGGGGGGAAGCCGGAUGCAGCAACGCCGGGGGCGGGAUGACGGCCUUCGGGUGGUAAACCGCUUUCGCCGGGGACGAAGGGUGAGUGACGGUAAUGGGUAAAGAAGCACCGGCUAACUACGU
Molecule: ribosomal RNA, 467 nt
Filed under: uncultured bacterium
Lineage: Bacteria
Description: partial 16S ribosomal RNA
Rfam family: Bacterial small subunit ribosomal RNA
Source: RNAcentral